GGCUUUCUGCAUCCGUGCAGAGAUUUCGUCAGUCAUCAACCCUUUAGGGUUGAUCAUACUCCCAAGAUAAGUGAAGUU
Non-coding RNA from Schistosoma mansoni, 78 nucleotides. Lineage: Eukaryota; Metazoa; Platyhelminthes; Trematoda; Strigeidida; Schistosomatidae. The record is from Rfam.